Molecule: long non-coding RNA, 2940 nt
Filed under: Hordeum vulgare
Lineage: Eukaryota; Viridiplantae; Streptophyta; Magnoliopsida; Poales; Poaceae
Description: long non-coding RNA (HVUL_LNC014200)
Source: RNAcentral
GUGUCCACGCAGUAGUACAGUAUCGAUUGGGAAGUAUGUAACUUGUGUGCAGUAGUGUACCGUCAUUUUUCUUUAAGAAACUAUAACACCUUAAAAUGCGAGUCAAUAUUGUAGGUCAUGUUAUGUCCUCCCCACUUGUGAGUAACAUACUGAAAGGUAAAGAUUGUGGUACCUAAGUUUGUGACUUAUAGAUGUGCUGAAAUUUUAGCCAAUUGACAAUUUGAGAUCAUGCUUAUUCGAGAUCGUUUAGCCGUGCAGCAUGCCACAGUGUGAUAUCUCCUUGUAUUUCUUUUAUGCUUCAAACGUAAAAAAACUGAAUCUGCCGUUGCUAGAUAACCAGUAGUGUCAAAAACACUCUUUUAUAUUACAGGACGGAGGGGUAGUAUCUUGAUGAUUUGCUUGAACACAAUGAUGUCCUCACCACGAGAGCCUUUUGGCACUCUUGCUAUUCUUGUUGACGACGAUCAAUUGACUUUCAGUCUGAAUUGUUUCCUUUGUUUACAGCUGGUUGGGGCCAUGAGCUGGGCAAGUAGAUAAGCCAACGAGUCAUUCCGUUGUGACCUGCAAUAUUGUAUCCAGUAACUCAAAAUUAGACACUACUGUUGCGAUCAGGACGUCAUACAUAAAAUUUAGUUUGGUUUCAGUGACAAGUGGCUGUAUACAUUAAGAUGCAAAUAUUAAAAGGAGUAGCGUCCUCAUGCACAUGUUACAGACACAUAGCUACUCUAAGCAAACAAUAAUAAGAACAAUGUUUUUGCGACAGCCAACAAGUGUUUUUCUUUUGGUUCCAAUAUAUUGCUUUUGUCUCCACUCUGUAAAUAGUGUUCAUUUACUUUUCAUAUUAUAUGCUUUCCAAAAAUAUGAUAAUGCUCAAAAUAUCUUACAUCAAAAAUACCGAAAUGUGUUUGGUUUUAACUAUCUGAAUACAAGUAAGCUUUCCAUUAAGUAGAGACGAAGAUGGAGAAAACACAUUACCGAUGUAUAUGAUUUUAGCUACUCUAUGCAAACAAUAAUAAAAACGAUGUGUUCGCGACGGCCGACAAGUGUUCAGAUACUAUGAUAUAGAUUGAUUUUCUUGUGAGCCUGUAAAUGGUGUUCAUUUACUUUUCAUAGUAUAUGCUUGCCAGAAAAAUGAUAUGAUCAAAAUAGAUUUCAUAAAAAAAAUCGCAAUGUGUUUGUUUUAACUGUGAUGUCCCCACCACCAGAGCCUUUUGGCACUCUUAUUCUUAUUGACCACGAUCAAUUGACUUUCAAUCUGAAUUGUUUCCUUUGUUUACAGCUGGUUGGGGCCAUGAGCUCAGUUGACUUUCAGUCUGAAUUGUUUCCUUUGUUUACAGCUGGUUGGGGCCAUGAGCUGAGCAAGUAGAUAAGCCAACGAAUUUCCAAAGUUAGUUGUUGAGUCAUUCCGUUGUGACCUGCAAUAUUGUAUCCAGUAACUCAAAAUUAGACACUAUUGUUGCGAUCAGGACGUCAUACAUAAAAUUUAGUUUGGUUUCGAUGACAAGUGGAUAUAUAGAUAAAGAUGCAAAUAUUAAAAGGAGUAGCGUCCUCAUGCACAUGUUACAGACACUUAGCUACUCUAGCAAACAAUAAUAAGAACAAUGUUUUUGCGACAGCCGACAAGUGUUUUUCUUUUGGUUCCAAUAUAUUGCUUUCGUCUCCAGUCUAUAAAGUGUUCAUUUACUUUUCAUAUUAUAUGCUUGCCAAAAAUAUGAUAAUGCUCAAAAUACCUUUUAUCAAAAAUACCGAAAUGUGUUUGGUUUUCAUUAUCUGAGUGAAAAGUAAGCUUUCCAUUAAGUAGAGACAGAAAUGGAGAAAACACAUUACCAACGUAUAUGAUUUUAGCUACUCUAUGCAAACAAUAAUAAAAACGAUGUGUUCGCGACAGCCGACAAGUGUUCAGAUACUAUGAUAUAUACUGCUUUCCUUGUGAGCCUGUAAAUGGUAUUCAUUUACUUUUCAUAGUAUAUGCUUGGCAGAAAAAUGAUAUGAUCAAAAUAGAUUUCAUUAAAAAAAUCGCAAUGUGUUUGUUUUAACUAUGAUGUCCUCACCACGAGAGCCUUUUGGCCCUCUUGCUAUUCUUGUUGACCACGAUCAAUUGACUUUCAGUCUGAAUUGUUUCCUUUGUUUACAGCUGGUUAGGGGCAUGAGCUGGGUAAGUAGAUAAGCCAACGAAUUUCCAAACUUAGUUGUUGAGUCAUUCCGUUGUGACCUGCAAUAUUGUAUCCAGUAACUCAAAAUUAGACACUACUGUUGCGAUCAAGACGUCAUAUAUAAAAUUUAGUUUGGUUUCAAUGACAAGUGGCUGUAUAGAUUAAGAUGCAAAUAUUAAUAGGAUCUCAUGCACAUGUUGCAGACACAUAGCUACUCUAAGCAAACAAUAAUAAAAACAAUAUUUUUGUGACAGCCGACAAGUGCUUUUCUUUUUGUUCUAAUAUAUUGCUUUUGUCUCCAGUCUGUAAAUAGUGUUCAUUUACUUUUCAUAUUAUAUGAUUUCCAAAAAUAUGAUAACGCUCAAAAUAUCUUUCAUCAAGAAUACCGAAAUGUGUUUGGUUUUAACUAUCUGAGUGGAAAGUAAGCUUUCCAUUAAGUGGAGACGGAGAUGGAGAAAACACAUUACCAAUGUAUAUGAUCUUAGCUACUCUGUGCAAACAAUAAUAAAAACGAUGUGUUCGCGACGGCCAACAAGUUUUCAGAUACUAUGAUAUAUACUGCUUUCCUUGUGAGCCUGUAAAUGGUAUUCAUUUACUUUUCAUAGUAUAUGCUUGGCAGAAAAAUGAUAUGAUCAAAAUAGAUUUCAUAAAAAAAAAUCACAAUGUGUUUGUUUUAACUGUGCAUAAACAUAAUCUAGUUGCCCCACGGAGAAGUGGAGGGCUAAAAACAUUAAGAAGAUGAGUAUACCUGCUAUGGAAUGGUGCGUUGAAGGUUCUGCAUCUACAN